CUCCCCACCGAGCAGAGGGCCCGACAUGGGGCUUGAUCCCAGGACCCCGGGACCAUGACCUGAGCCAAAAGCAGAGGCCUCAACCCACGGAACCACCCAGGCACCCUCCAUCCAGCUUCUAAAGAAUCCCUCCUUAGCACCUCUCUUGGAGAGAGAAACCAGGAAGGAGGAACAAGCCAGAGCCUUCUAACCCAGAACACCAAUGACAGUUGUCUUCAGGAGAAAAUAAGGAAGUUACGAGUACAUGUGCAUCUCUUCUAAAGCCUGAGUCAUCCUUCCUGUUGUAAUAACAUCUGUAGGGCCUUCCUGAGAGCCAGCAGUGCGGUUGAGUCAGACCCUCGGAGAAGGUCCGAAAGCUGGAGCAGCCAGAGCUCCCAGUCUGUGGGGCCUGCUCUGUUUCUGGUCAGCUCCCACUCAUAGUCUUUUUGUCCUCUUUGUCCUCAGUAUGGGCCUUUGCAGGGAUGAGGAUGCCAGCCCUCAUCGCAACUUUUUCUAUUGCCCCUGGAGUGAAUUCACCCAUCUCAUCUGGGAAAUUGUACCGGUCCAGAGAAGCUUUCAGGAACUUGGAACCAAACUGUUUAUGCUUUUGAAGUAUUCCAUUGGCUGUCAAGAAUUCUCAUUAACUGAAAAGGUAAUGAAGAAAAAGCCUGUACUUUUGGAGACCUAGAAUCUUACUUAUGCUAAUAAGCUUUUGACUGCGAUUUCGUGGUCCGGUAUUUCCUGCUGGCAUCUUGGUGGUCCCACGGAGCUCCCCACC
This is a long non-coding RNA of Lutra lutra (Eurasian river otter), 757 nucleotides long. RefSeq lists it as uncharacterized. The record is from RefSeq and is a predicted model, not a curated record. The transcript has 3 exons. NCBI's taxonomy places the organism in Eukaryota, Metazoa, Chordata, Mammalia, Carnivora, Mustelidae.